UACUGAUUCGCUUUCUGAGGUCCUGUU
Molecule: small RNA, 27 nt
Filed under: Bombyx mori (domestic silkworm)
Lineage: Eukaryota; Metazoa; Arthropoda; Insecta; Lepidoptera; Bombycidae
Description: ovarian small RNA-21478
Source: RNAcentral